This 517-nucleotide ribosomal RNA is filed under the name uncultured bacterium. Its description in RNAcentral is "bacterial SSU rRNA". It matches the Rfam family "Bacterial small subunit ribosomal RNA", at positions 8 to 518 of the family's 1533-position model. The record is from RNAcentral.
AGAGUUGAUUCUGGCUCAGGAUGAACGCUAGCGACAGGCUUAACACAUGCAAGUCGAGGGGCAGCAUAAAAGUAGCAAUACUUGGUGGCGACCGGCGCACGGGUGAGUAACGCGUAUGCAACCUACCUAUCAGAGGGGAAUAACCCGGCGAAAGUCGGACUAAUACCGCAUAAAACAGGGGCACCGCAUGGUGAUAUUUGUUAAAGAAAUUCGCUGAUAGAUGGGCAUGCGUUCCAUUAGGUAGUUGGUGAGGUAACGGCUCACCAAGCCGACGAUGGAUAGGGGAACUGAGAGGUUGGUCCCCCACACUGGUACUGAGACACGGACCAGACUCCUACGGGAGGCAGCAGUGAGGAAUAUUGGUCAAUGGGCGGGAGCCUGAACCAGCCAAGUCCGCGUGAAGGAAGAAGGAUCUAUGGUUCGUAAACUUCUUUUGCAGGGGAAUAAAGUGCAGGACGUGUCCUGUUUUGUAUGUACCCUGAGAAUAAGGAUCGGCUAACUCCGUGCCAGCCGCCGC